Molecule: long non-coding RNA, 475 nt
Filed under: Helianthus annuus (common sunflower)
Lineage: Eukaryota; Viridiplantae; Streptophyta; Magnoliopsida; Asterales; Asteraceae
Description: sRNA HanXRQr2_Chr08g0326801
Source: RNAcentral
GAAACUUUUACCUCUCGAUAUGCUCACGUUGGUCUACAGAUUGUAGCUACCAUGAUGCCUGAUGAAUAUAGGUGAAAAAAGAUUUGGAUACUAUUAUAGAUACAAUUGUUGAAUGAGGAAAUAAGGCAAUUGCGACAAGUGAAAGAAACAAAAAGAUUAGAGAAAGAAAAAGAAAGAGCAGAGAAACUCAAAAUGAUGGAGCAAUUUAAGGAAAAUUGGAUUGCAAAUGCCGAAAUGAAAGAACGAGUUCAAUUCACAAGUAGACAUUCAAAUUGAUGAAUGUGAUGUGUUUACUUGGAAGGGAUCAUUUUAAUAUUUCGUCUUAUAAUGAUUUCAGGACAAGAAACAAUAUAAAGCAUGGGGAACAAUACUAGGCUAAAGAGAUAACUUUGUUGUGCAUUAAAAAAAGAAGAGGUAAUACGGUUUUGGUUGCAAGUAUGAAUUGAAGACGUUGGUAUUGGGUUGCAAGUAUGAU